Molecule: long non-coding RNA, 1249 nt
Organism: Papaver somniferum (opium poppy)
Lineage: Eukaryota; Viridiplantae; Streptophyta; Magnoliopsida; Ranunculales; Papaveraceae
Exons: 2
Source: RefSeq, a predicted model, not a curated record
ACAGAAGAUGUCGACACAAACAACUUCUUCUUCUUCAAAUUUUUUUUCUUCAGAUCUGUGAUGGUGAUGAACACAAUCAAGUUUAAGAUAUUCUCCUAUAAAAAUAUUCUCAUACGUUUAAACGGUGAAUUCAUGAGUUUGAAUGGGUUGCAAUGACUAAUUAAAGGUGCUGGUUAUGAAGUCGAGAAGUUAAUGAAAUAAAGGUCUUUUGAUGGUUGAAGAAUCGAUUUAACAUAGGAUUUACAAUGAAUUGGAGUUCUAAACAGAUCAGGAAUGAUGGGUUUUGUUUGAAUUGGGUUGCUGAGAAUGAUUCUGAUAUAAUAUCCAGGAUGGGAAGAAGACGAAGAAGAAAUGAGGAGAUCUGUUUUGCUAUGGAUGAAUUUAGGGAUUGAGCUCGAUUUGAGAACAAGAAUAAAGCAGAAUUGUGGUUUUGAGAUUUGGUACUGCUGCUGUGGUGAUGAACAAAGAAAGCUGGGAUUAUGUUGUUGAUGUUGAGAUUGAGGAAGACAAUGGUUGCAGGUGAUUGCAGGAGGAACUGGAGUUGGUGGUGUUAAGCGUAUGGUGGUGAACCUGAUAUGGAGAUGGUAUUGGUGGCGUUUGUAAGCUUGUAGUUGUGAUGCAGAUGAAGCUAAGCCUGAGAUGGAGUUGUUGUUGGUUCAUAUUCGCAGGAGAUGGCAGGGUCUUCUGGAAAGGUUUGCAGUUUAGGUGUGGAAGAAUGAUGGUGUUGUUGUUGUUCUGGUGUUAGAGAAAUUACAGGUGCAAUGAAUCCAUGGUUGAAUUACAGAGAAGGUUUGAUAAACUGAGUGUUGCAGUAUGGCGAUGAACUGAAGCGGGUAGGGAAAUGAAGCUGCAGGUGCUUAGUAUUACGGAAUGUAUGUUAGUGGGUUGAAUCGCAGAAAUGAUUUUGUUGUUGUGUUGCAGCUGAUAGUAUGGCCUAAGAUAGUUUUGGAACUGCAGAAACGGUGCGAGAAUGCAGUGGAAUGAGGUGCUGAGACAUGGGUUUUAGAAGUAGAACUGAGAUGGUGAACCAAUUGGUGUUGUUGUCCGUUGAUUGACAGAAGAGAAUAAUUUAGGCUUGAUGUUGGUGGUGGUUGAUAGUAUUGAAGAUUAUGUUUUGUGUGUGUGUGAAUUACAGGUCAAAUGGGAUUUUAAUUUUUAUUGAAAUUGAAGUAUAGGCAAUUUUCAGUAAAAAAGAUCAUAGUUAAUUAACCUGCAAUUAAGAUAUAGACGAAUCCCCUUUCAGUUUUCA